UUACGGGAGGCAGCAGUGGGGAAUAUUGCACAAUGGAGGAAACUCUGAUGCAGCGACGCCGCGUGAGUGAUGAAGGACUUCGGUUCGUAAAGCUCUGUUGCAGGGGAAAAAGAAAGUGAUUGUACUCUGCGAGGAAGGAUCGGCUAACUUCGUGCCAGCAGCCGCGGUAAGACGAGGGAUCCUAGCGUUGUUCGGAAUCAUUGGGCGUAAAGCGGAUGUAGGUGGCUUUGUAAGUCAGGUGUGAAAGCCCCGGGCUCAACCCGGGAAGUGCAUUUGAUACUGCGAAGCUUGAGUGCCGGAGAGGUUAUUAGAAUAACUGGUGUAGUGGUGAAAUACGUAGAUAUCAGGUGGAACACCGGAGGCGAAGGCGGGUAACUGGCCGGACACUGACACUCAAAUCCGAAAGCGUGGGGAUCAAACAGGAUUAGAUACCCGGGUA
RNAcentral lists this ribosomal RNA (439 nucleotides) under uncultured bacterium. RNAcentral describes it as "bacterial SSU rRNA". It matches the Rfam family "Bacterial small subunit ribosomal RNA", at positions 339 to 792 of the family's 1533-position model. The record is from RNAcentral.